Molecule: ribosomal RNA, 429 nt
Filed under: Chloroflexota bacterium
Lineage: Bacteria; Bacillati; Chloroflexota
Description: Chloroflexi bacterium partial 16S ribosomal RNA
Rfam family: Bacterial small subunit ribosomal RNA
Source: RNAcentral
UGGGGAAUAUUGCACAAUGGGCGCAAGCCUGAUGCAGCCAUGCCGCGUGUGUGAAGAAGGCCUUCGGGUUGUAAAGCACUUUCAGCGGGGAGGAAGGCGAUAAGGUUAAUAACCUUGUCGAUUGACGUUACCCGCAGAAGAAGCACCGGCUAACUCCGUGCCAGCAGCCGCGGUAAUACGGAGGGUGCAAGCGUUAAUCGGAAUUACUGGUCGUAAAGCGCACGCAGGCGGUCUGUCAAGUCGGAUGUGAAAUCCCCGGGCUUAACCUGGGAACUGCAUUCGAAACUGGCAGGCUAGAGUCUUGUAGAGGGGGGUAGAAUUCCAGGUGUAGCGGUGAAAUGCGUAGAGAUCUGGAGGAAUACCGGUGGCGAAGGCGGCCCCCUGGACAAAGACUGACGCUCAGGUGCGAAAGCGUGGGGAGCAAACAGG